GAUGAACGCUGGCGGCGUGCCUAAUACAUGCAAGUCGAGCGAACGGACGAGAAGCUUGCUUCUCUGAUGUUAGCGGCGGACGGGUGAGUAACACGUGGAUAACCUACCUAUAAGACUGGGAUAACUUCGGGAAACCGGAGCUAAUACCGGAUAAUAUUUUGAACCGCAUGGUUCAAAAGUGAAAGACGGUCUUGCUGUCACUUAUAGAUGGAUCCGCGCUGCAUUAGCUAGUUGGUAAGGUAACGGCUUACCAAGGCAACGAUGCAUAGCCGACCUGAGAGGGUGAUCGGCCACACUGGAACUGAGACACGGUCCAGACUCCUACGGGAGGCAGCAGUAGGGAAUCUUCCGCAAUGGGCGAAAGCCUGACGGAGCAACGCCGCGUGAGUGAUGAAGGUCUUCGGAUCGUAAAACUCUGUUAUUAGGGAAGAACAUAUGUGUAAGUAACUGUGCACAUCUUGACGGUACCUAAUCAGAAAGCCACGGCUAACUACGUGCCAGCAGCCGCGGUAAUACGUAGGUGGCAAGCGUUAUCCGGAAUUAUUGGGCGUAAAGCGCGCGUAGGCGGUUUUUUAAGUCUGAUGUGAAAGCCCACGGCUCAACCGUGGAGGGUCAUUGGAAACUGGAAAACUUGAGUGCAGAAGAGGAAAGUGGAAUUCCAUGUGUAGCGGUGGAAUGCGCAGAGAUAUGGAGGAACACCAGUGGCGAAGGCGACUUUCUGGUCUGUAACUGACGCUGAUGUGCGAAAGCGUGGGGAUCAAACAGGAUUAGAUACCCUGGUAGUCCACGCCGUAAACGAUGAGUGCUAAGUGUUAGGGGGUUUCCGCCCCUUAGUGCUGCAGCUAACGCAUUAAGCACUCCGCCUGGGGAGUACGACCGCAAGGUUGAAACUCAAAGGAAUUGACGGGGACCCGCACAAGCGGUGGAGCAUGUGGUUUAAUUCGAAGCAACGCGAAGAACCUUACCAAAUCUUGACAUCCUUUGACAACUCUAGAGAUAGAGCUUUCCCCUUCGGGGGACAAAGUGACAGGUGGUGCAUGGUUGUCGUCAGCUCGUGUCGUGAGAUGUUGGGUUAAGUCCCGCAACGAGCGCAACCCUUAAGCUUAGUUGCCAUCAUUAAGUUGGGCACUCUAAGUUGACUGCCGGUGACAAACCGGAGGAAGGUGGGGAUGACGUCAAAUCAUCAUGCCCCUUAUGAUUUGGGCUACACGCGUGCUACAAUGGACAAUACAAAGGGCAGCGAAACCGCGAGGUCAAGCAAAUCCCAUAAAGUUGUUCUCAGUUCGGAUUGUAGUCUGCAACUCGACUACAUGAAGCUGGAAUCGCUAGUAAUCGUAGAUCAGCAUGCUACGGUGAAUACGUUCCCGGGUCU
This 1372-nucleotide ribosomal RNA is filed under the name uncultured bacterium. RNAcentral describes it as "bacterial SSU rRNA". It matches the Rfam family "Bacterial small subunit ribosomal RNA", at positions 28 to 1381 of the family's 1533-position model. The record is from RNAcentral.